RNAcentral lists this unclassified non-coding RNA (731 nucleotides) under Hevea brasiliensis (rubber tree). The record is from RNAcentral. Lineage: Eukaryota; Viridiplantae; Streptophyta; Magnoliopsida; Malpighiales; Euphorbiaceae.
GCCGUUGCUUCAAUUAUGCAUCUGCCACGAAUCACACGCAAACAUUAUUUUUUCUUCUCUUUUCAUUGAUGUCUAAAAAUGAUAGGUUUAAUGUCUUUAUUUGAUGUAUUGGUGCUUACUAUACAGUUAUGUAUCUUAGUUUUACUUGUAUCUACCAAUAUAUAGUCAUUUUACAAACUUUGCAAAUUUUUCAGAAAAAAUUUGCUCAGCGCCAGGCCAUUACUGUUAAGUUGCAGCCGUUAUAGGCCAAUUUCCGUUGCUCACAACAGCGACCGCAAUUUGAAACAAUGUCCCAAACUCACCGUAGCAUAGAAGGAUAAACAUUUGUUUCCAAGAAACAAAAGCACAUUCACAUUUAGUUGAUGCACCAUAUAGCAGACCACGAAAAUGGUAACGAUUAUAUGAUUGCAAUAACUAGGAAGGAAAAAAAUAAUAAAAUUCUUAAUAAGCAAACUACAUAUUGAGUGCAUUAGGCCUAGGCAGUUUUUGAGGGAGAUAAAUGAAACCCCCACUUUAAGUGAAAGUAGCCUAAGCAACCAUUACACCAUAAGGAGUAUAUUAUGGCCCUUAUAUUUCACCUAUAUCCCAAUUGGUAGAGAAUUAUCACAACAUAUUCACAUCUUUCUGGGUGUCUUCACAGUUAUAGUCACAUCCACAUACACAUGAAAUAAUCCCAUGACAAAAACAUUUAAUAUAAUUUUGCAUCAAACCUUCUUAUUCCUUGCAAUUCU